RNAcentral lists this non-coding RNA (141 nucleotides) under Clostridium sp. RNAcentral's name for it is "FMN sequence". It matches the Rfam family "FMN riboswitch aptamer (RFN element)". Rfam says of the family: The RFN element is a highly conserved domain that is found frequently in the 5'-untranslated regions of prokaryotic mRNAs that encode for flavin mononucleotide (FMN) biosynthesis and transport proteins. This element is a metabolite-dependent riboswitch that directly binds FMN in the absence of proteins. In Bacillus subtilis, the riboswitch most likely controls gene expression by causing premature transcription termination within the 5' untranslated region of the ribDEAHT operon and precluding access to the ribosome-binding site of ypaA mRNA. RNAcentral also lists the same sequence under 1 other name. Lineage: Bacteria; Bacillati; Bacillota; Clostridia; Eubacteriales; Clostridiaceae. The record is from RNAcentral.
UAUUAUUCUCGGGGCGGGGUGAGAAUCCCCACCGGUGGUAAAGUCCACGACUCGGGCGUAAAUGCCCGACUGAUGCGGUGAAACUCCGCAACCGACGGUAACGCGCUUUUAGGCGUGAAGUCCGGAUGAGAGAGAAUGCCG